This is a non-coding RNA of Triticum aestivum (bread wheat), 135 nucleotides long. The record is from Rfam. Lineage: Eukaryota; Viridiplantae; Streptophyta; Magnoliopsida; Poales; Poaceae.
AAAGUACUCCCUCCGUCCCAAAAUUCUUGUCUUAGAUUUGUCUAGAUACGGAUGUAUCAAGUCACAUUUUAGUACUAUAUACAUCUGUAUCUAGACAAAUCUAAGACAAGAAAUUUGGGACAGAGGGAGUAGUUG